Non-coding RNA from Lupinus albus (white lupine), 618 nucleotides. NCBI's taxonomy places the organism in Eukaryota, Viridiplantae, Streptophyta, Magnoliopsida, Fabales, Fabaceae. The record is from the annotation of a GenBank genome assembly.
GUCACUGUACUUUUUGUUUUGAUUUUUCAACUACUACAAAGAAAGUAAAGGUAAUAUAAUUACUAAUAAUAAAGAAAUAAACAUAGGUGAGAUACUUUUACCUAUAGAGAUGAAUGAAUUCACAUGUGGAUAAAUCUUUGGCGUAAAGAUGCAAGAAGAAUUGGUAUAGCUGCACAUCCAGACCCAAACCCAUGACAUUAUAGUCAUGCUAUCUUGUUGCACCACGCCUUAGCAAUAAUCUCCAUGAUCACGUCUUUGUAGAAUAUGAAUUCAUGUCCCCUGUCUAUGACUCAUUCCCCCAUUGCCAUUGUUGGUUGAGUCUCAUGCCUUAGCUUUACUUACUGCGGAAUUUGUUGUUCUCAAUCUUUUGUAAUUACUUCUUAUUCCUCCAAUCUUUGUAUGCUAGUGUGUCCUAGAAAGCUUGUGAACCUUGGAACCGAAAGUGAAUAAAAUUACUCUGUUGUUACUUUAAUUUGUGGACUCUCCCUUCACUUUUCUUCUUUUGUUUCAGCAUCCUUUUUAUUGUCAUCCUCUUCUACCAUAUAUCUCUCUUUUAUUUUGGAUUUGUGCUGUUUUUGUUGCAAAAGAAAAGAAAAGGUUGUGGGCCGGAGAAGGAAC